Phalacrocorax carbo (great cormorant) is the source of this 5345-nucleotide non-coding RNA. The record is from RefSeq and is a predicted model, not a curated record. Lineage: Eukaryota; Metazoa; Chordata; Aves; Suliformes; Phalacrocoracidae.
GGGGGGAGGGGGGGAGAGGGGGGAAAGCAGCGUGUAUUUUUGGGUGCAAACCCCGGACUUUGCAAAACAGUCUCCGCCCCCAAGAGGAUAUUUAAUCUGCAACAGAAAUCGCUACUCGCGGAGGCAAACUUGAGACGGGGAAGGGGUGCGGGGAGCGGAGGAAGGGGACCCCCCCUCGCUCCCGGCCCCACGGAGCCCGACCCCUGCGAGGGAAGAUGCGUUUCUCUUUCCCGGCGGCUGCUCUUGGGACGAGACUUUCGUCUGGACCGAUCGGGACUGGACUUCUUAAGGACGCGCUUACCCAUCUAAGAGCGAUUUGGGCAUAAACAGCAACGCAAACUCUGAUUUGGUGCUGGAAGCUGCCUCUGCCACUGAACAGCUGCUCUCGCCCUGCUUCUGUCCCUCCCCCGUCCCGUUCUCAAAAGAGGAUCCUGAGCUAUUUUGCUUCUUUUUUAUUUUUCAAUUGUUUUUGCAUGAAUUUUAUUUUAGGUGGUUGUCUUUUCCGGUUGGCUUGGCUGUUUUGGGGUCUUGCAGACUGCUAGCUGCAGUAACAGCUCCACCGCCUCUCAUCAUGGCUAGCCCCACAGAUAAUAAUGAGGGCUUCUUCUCAGAUGUCAGAAAGGUGGGUUACUUGCGCAAACCCAAGAGCAUGCAUAAACGCUUUUUCGUGCUGAGGGCAGCCAGCGAGUCUGGACCCGCCCGGCUGGAGUAUUAUGAGAAUGAAAAGAAAUGGAGACACAAGUCAGGGGCCCCCAAGCGCUCCAUCCCACUAGAAAGCUGCUUCAACAUCAACAAACGGGCUGACUCCAAGAACAAGCACCUGGUGGCCCUCUACACCAAGGACGAGCACUUUGCCAUUGCAGCUGACAGCGAACCUGAACAGGAGAGCUGGUACCAAGCCCUGCUGCAGUUGCACAACAGGGCCAAGGGCCACCACCACCUCCAUCACCAUCACCACCACCACCACAGCGACGUCACCUUUGGUGGCAGCAAUGCAGGACUGGGGGAAGCAGGUGAGGACAGCUAUGGUGAGGUAGCCCCUGGCCCGGCUUUUAAGGAAGUUUGGCAAGUAAUUCUAAAGCCUAAGGGCCUAGGCCAGACAAAGAACCUGAUUGGCAUCUACCGCCUGUGCCUGACUAACAAGACCAUCAGCUUUGUGAAGCUGAAUUCAGAUGCGGCUGCUGUGGUGCUGCAGCUGCUCAAUAUCCGCCGCUGCGGUCACUCCGAGAACUUCUUCUUCAUUGAGGUGGGGCGCUCGGCUGUCACUGGGCCUGGUGAGUUCUGGAUGCAGGUGGAUGACUCUGUGGUGGCACAGAACAUGCAUGAAACCAUCCUGGAGGCCAUGCGAGCCAUGAGUGAGGAAUUCCGGCCCCGCAGCAAGAGCCAGUCCUCUUCAAACUGUUCCAACCCCAUCUCUGUGCCCCUUCGCAGCAGGCACCACGUCAACAACCCUCCACCUAGCCAAGUGGGGCUCAGUCGCCGGUCCAGGACUGAGAGCGUCACAGCCACCUCUCCUGCUGGUGGCGGGGGUGGAGGUACAGGUGGCAAACCCAGCUCUUUCCGGGUUCGAGCAUCGAGCGAUGGGGAAGGCACGAUGUCAAGGCCUGCCUCUGUGGAUGGUAGCCCAGUUAGUCCCAGUGCCAACCGGACCCAUUCGCAUAGGCACCGUGGCAACUCCAGGCUCCAUCCUCCACUCAACCACAGCCGGUCCAUCCCAAUGCCUUCCUCACGCUGCUCUCCUUCAGCCACCAGUCCAGUUAGCCUGUCAUCCAGCAGCACCAGCGGCCAUGGCUCCACCUCGGACUGCCUGUUUCCACGAAGGUCUAGUGCUUCGGUUUCCGGCUCUCCUAGCGAUGGUGGAUUUAUUUCUUCUGAUGAAUAUGGUUCCAGCCCGUGUGACUUCCGUAGCUCUUUUCGCAGUGUGACCCCAGAUUCGUUGGGACACACCCCACCGGCUCGGGGCGAUGAAGAGCUCAACUACAUCUGCAUGGGGGGGAAGGCCACUUCCUCUUGCUGCAGCCUGGCAGCCCCUAAUGGCCACUUUAUCACACGCAGCUGCCACCCGCAGCAGCAGCCCCGCUACCCUAGUACACCGUGCUGUCCUCGAGGUGGUAGCGAGGAGGUUGCCGACUUGGAGAAGGCGUUCAGGAAGCGGACUCACUCUGCAGGCACCUCGCCCACCAUCUCCCACCAGAAGACACCCUCACAGUCUUCGGUGGCCUCCAUUGAGGAGUACACAGAGAUGCUGCCUUCUUACCCCUGUGGUGGCAGCCGGCUGCCCUCCUACCGGCACUCAGCCUUUGUGCCCACUCACUCCUACCCAGAGGAGUGUCUGGAGAUGCACCACCUGGACAGUGGCCAUCAUCGGACCAACUCUGCCCCGCACACGGAUGAUGGCUACAUGCCCAUGUCACCCGGCGUAGCCCCUGUGCCCAGCGGCGGGGGGCCCCCCAAGGGUGGUGACUACAUGCCCAUGAGUCCUAAGAGUGUGUCGGCCCCACAGCAGAUCGUCAACCCUGGCAGGGGGGGCCGCCACCCUCCAGCCACGGUGGACUCCAACGGCUACAUGAUGAUGUCCCCCAGCGGCAGCUACUCCCCUGACAGCGGCUCUGCGGGCUAUGGCAAGAUCUGGACGAAUGGUGCCAGCCACCACCCGAAACUCUCGGUGGAGAGCAACGAAGGGAAGCUCCCCUGCGGCGGCAGCGACUACAUCAACAUGUCCCCAGCCAGUGGCUCCACCACCAGCACCCCGCCUGACUGCUACUUCGGGGGCGCGGGGCAGCCGGGCGUUGAGGAUGCCGCCACGGCGGCCCACCACAAACCCAUCUACUCCUACUUCUCGCUGCCCCGCUCUUUCAAGCACGUGCACCGGCGGGGUGGCGGCGGGCCGGCGGCGGCGGGCGAGGAGGGCAGCCCCCAGCCCCGCAUCGCUCUCGGCUCCGGCCGCCUCCUCUACGCCGCCGAGGACUCCUCCUCCUCCACCAGCAGCGACAGCCUGGGCGGCGGCGGCGGCGGCACCGAGGGCGUCCCCCCGCCGCAAGCGCAGCCCCCGCGCAAGGUGGACACGGCCGUGCAGACCAAGGGCCGCCUGGCGCGACCGACGCGCCUGUCGCUGGGCGGCCCCAAGGCCAGCACCCUGCCGCGGGCCCGGGAGCAGCCGCCGCUCCUCCUGCCCCCGGAGCCCAAGAGCCCCGGCGAGUACGUCAACAUCGAGUUCAUCGCCGGCGAGAAGCCGGCCUUCCCCUUGGCCGCCCUCGGGCUGAGCUUGCCGCCGCCGCCGGGCAACGAGGGCGCCGAGGAGUACAUGAACAUGGAGCUGGGGCCGCCGCGGGGCCCCGGCUUCGCCGCCGGGCGGGCUGCCCCCGCGGCCCGUCCCGUCCGAGGCGCGGCCCCCGGCGGCCGGGACUACGUGACGAUGCAGCUGGGGAGCGCCGCCGCCGGGGGCUCCUGCUCGGACUGCGCCGACAGCCCUUCCCCCUGCUCGCCCGCCCUCCUGCUCAGCUACGCCGACGUGCGGGCGGGCCGCUCCGCCGCCGAGAAGCCCCCGCCGGCGGCGGCGGCGACAGCGGCGGCGGCGGCUUCCCCGGAGCUGCCGCGGCCGGCGGCUGAGCUGUCGGCGGCGCCGCCGCGCUCCUCCUCCCUGCUCGGGGGCCCCGGCGCGGGCAGCGCCUUCACCCGCGUCAGCCUCAGCCCCGGCCGCAACCAGAGCGCCAAGGUGAUCCGAGCCGACCCGCAGGGCGGCCGGCGGCGACACAGCUCCGAGACCUUCUCGUCCACGCCAAGCGCCGCCCGCGGAGCGGCGGCGUGCGGCGGCGGGGGCCUCGGGGCGCCCUUCCCCUGCGGCGGCGCGGGGGGCGCCGAGGACGUGAAGCGCCACAGCUCGGCCUCUUUCGAGAACGUCUGGCUGCGGCCCGCCGCGGGGGAGGCGGCCGGCGCCCCCGCCGCCCGCCGGGAGCCAGGGGCCGCCCCCGCCCUGGAGAACGGGCUCAACUACAUCGACCUGGACUUGGUGAAGGACUUCAGCCACCGCCGCCACCACCACCUCCACCCCGCCGCCGAGGGCGCCGCUCUGCCGGGGGGGAAGCCGCCGCCGCCGCAGCCCUCGGGCCAGCCUCGCGGGAGCGGCCACGCCAGCGACGACUUAAGCGCGUACGCCAGCAUCAGCUUCCAGAAGCGGGAGGAGAUGUAGGAGCCGGGCGGCCGCCGAGGAAGGGGAAGUUGUUUCCAGAACUGAAAGAACAGACAUUUUUGUAGUUUUGGGUCAGCACCAAGGUAAAUACCAAACGAUGACCUAUACAACCUCAGCAAAUCCUUCUUUUAACUCAUGGGUAUCAAGACUAUAAAUGUUUCAUGCUAUCACAACUAGGACCUCACCUCCUCCUCCUCGUCCUCCUCCUCUUCCUCUGUAAAUGGGUACGAUGCAUCCAGUUCAGUUUGUUUACUUUACACAAACCUCAGGAGUUAGUUGACUGAGCUGCACAUCCUGUGUUGUGCCAAGCAGAAGCACUGUGACACCUGGACAAUGAGUCUCUCUUACUUCAUCCUCUACCAUAAGGACUUAGCUGGCCACAAUGAACAGAUGUGCCCACCACUAUGUCAUGGUGAGAAUGGGUAUUUUUACUAGCACAUUUACACAACUUCAUUUGCUGCUGAAAACCUGUAUGACAAAUCAUCAUUGUAAAUUAUUACAUACAAAACUUAAUGUUGGUUGAAGAGUAUUAAAUAUUUAACAUAGGUUUUGAUUUAUACAUGUACUUUUUUAAUUAAAAUGUAACUUUUCCUACAGCACAUCUUUUUUGAUGUGGAACUGAGGUAUACUAUAUUCUGUUGUAAACAGAGUGGGAAACCUGCUUAAAACAAGGCUUCUAAGAAUAGAGUAGGGUACUAUUCUUGUUUUAAGAUUGUAAUUCAGAAAAUAAUAUAAUAUGAGUCAUUGGUCCCUGGGCCUUGAUUGUACAGUCAUAUUUACUGAUACUAUCAGUUGUAAGAUAACCCUGAUGUUGAGUUCUUUCCAAAAGAAAAAUAAUUUUGUACUCCUUGUAAAAUAAUAGUCUGUAUUAACUACAAUGAAGACAAACAUUACUGUACAUGGUAUUUACAAGUGUCAACUUGAAUUCAUCAAUUGCACAGGAACUGACAAAAAAAUAUUAGAAAAAAGAAAUCAAAGUCUUCCAUUGUAUAUAUUGUAAAGAAAAAAACCAACCAUCAGAAAACCACAAAACAAAAUGAAAACAAAAAAGGGUGAACUUUUCAAAUUGCCUCUUUCCCUGGAAUGAAAAUGUGGGUGUUUGUAAAUUCUGGAAAUCUCUUUCUAUAUGUAAUAAACUAGAUACUGUUUUAUCUGC